AUACUUACCUGGCAGGGGAUAUACCAUGAUCACUUAGGUGGUAUACCCAGAGUGAAGCUCAUCCAUUGCACUCAGGGUGUGCUGACCUCUGCGAUUUCCCCAAAUGUGGGAAACUCAACUGCAUAAUUUGUGUUACUGGGGACUGCGUUCACUCUUUAUUUUU
This is a small nuclear RNA of Tachyglossus aculeatus (Australian echidna), 163 nucleotides long. RefSeq annotates it as U1 spliceosomal RNA. NCBI's taxonomy places the organism in Eukaryota, Metazoa, Chordata, Mammalia, Monotremata, Tachyglossidae. The record is from RefSeq and is a predicted model, not a curated record. The transcript has a single exon.